GACGAACGCUGGCGGCGUGCCUAAUACAUGCAAGUCGAACGCUUCUUUUUCCACCGGAGCUUGCUCCACCGGAAAAAGAGGAGUGGCGAACGGGUGAGUAACACGUGGGUAACCUGCCCAUCCGAAGGGGAUAACACUUGGAAACAGGUGCUAAUACCGUAUAACAAUCGAAACCUCAUGGUUUUGAUUUGAAAGGCGCUUUCGGGUGUCGCUGAUGGAUGGACCCGCGGUGCAUAAGCGAGUUGGUGAGGUAGCGGCUCACCAAGGCCACGAUGCAUAGCCGACCUGGGAGGGUGAUCGGCAACAUUGAGACUGAGACACGGCCCAAACUCCUACGGGAGGCAGCAGUAGGGAAUCUUCGGCAAUGGACGAAAGUCUGACCGAGCAACGCCGCGUGAGUGAAGAAGGUUUUCGGAUCGUAAAACUCUGUUGUUAGAGAAGAACAAGGAUGAGAGUAACUGUUCAUCCCUUGACGGUAUCUAACCAGAAAGCCACGGCUAACUACGUGCCAGCAGCCGCCGUAA
RNAcentral lists this ribosomal RNA (524 nucleotides) under uncultured bacterium. RNAcentral's name for it is "partial 16S ribosomal RNA". It matches the Rfam family "Bacterial small subunit ribosomal RNA", at positions 28 to 523 of the family's 1533-position model. The record is from RNAcentral.